RNAcentral lists this ribosomal RNA (462 nucleotides) under uncultured bacterium. RNAcentral describes it as "bacterial SSU rRNA". It matches the Rfam family "Bacterial small subunit ribosomal RNA", at positions 57 to 513 of the family's 1533-position model. The record is from RNAcentral.
GCAAGUCGAGCGGAGAUGAGGUGCUUGCACCUUAUCUUAGCGGCGGACGGGUGAGUAAUGCUUAGGAAUCUGCCUAUUAGUGGGGGACAACAUUCCGAAAGGAAUGCUAAUACCGCAUACGUCCUACGGGAGAAAGCAGGGGAUCUUCGGACCUUGCGCUAAUAGAUGAGCCUAAGUCGGAUUAGCUAGUUGGUGGGGUAAAGGCCUACCAAGGCGACGAUCUGUAGCGGGUCUGAGAGGAUGAUCCGCCACACUGGGACUGAGACACGGCCCAGACUCCUACGGGAGGCAGCAGNGGNGAAUAUUGGACAAUGGGGGGAACCCUGAUCCAGCCAUGCCGCGUGUGUGAAGAAGGCCUUAUGGUUGUAAAGCACUUUAAGCGAGGAGGAGGCUACUGAGACUAAUACUCUUGGAUAGUGGACGUUACUCGCAGAAUAAGCACCGGCUAACUCUGUGCCAGCA